AUUGAACGCUGGCGGCAUGCUUUACACAUGCAAGUCGAACGGUAACAGGUUAAGCUGACGAGUGGCGAACGGGUGAGUAAUGCAUCGGAACGUGCCCGGUCGUGGGGGAUAACGCAGCGAAAGCUGCGCUAAUACCGCAUACGAUCUAAGGAUGAAAGCGGGGGACCGUAAGGCCUCGCGCGAUCGGAGCGGCCGAUGUCAGAUUAGGUAGUUGGUGGGGUAAAGGCUCACCAAUCCAACGAGCUGUAGCUGGUCUGAGAGGACGACCAGCCACACUGGGACUGAGACACGGACCAGACUCCUACGGGAGGCAGCAGUGGGGAAUUUUGGACAAUGGGCGAAAGCCUGAUCCAGCAAUGCCGCGUGCAGGAAGAAGGCCUUCGGGUUGUAAACUGCUUUUGUACGGAGCGAAAAGGUCUCCUCUAAUACAGGGGGCUCAUGACGGUACCGUAAGAAUAAGCACCGGCUAACUACGUGCCAGCCGCCGCCGUAA
Molecule: ribosomal RNA, 493 nt
Filed under: uncultured bacterium
Lineage: Bacteria
Description: partial 16S ribosomal RNA
Rfam family: Bacterial small subunit ribosomal RNA
Source: RNAcentral